CUCCUUCUAUGCUCCUUCCCUCCACUCUGUUUCCUCCCAUCCGGAAAACCUCUCAGUCUUCCAACAGAAGAGAAAUGUGCAGCUUUGAGAAGGAGAGUGGGAAAAAUGGCAGUGGCUAUGAUGAUGACACUGGAAAACGAGAGGAGCUGAGGUCAAAGGGAAAAAGGUGUAAGGUAAGGAGACCAAGCUGUGUCCUGUGUGGGAGAUUUUCAGUCGAUGUGCUGCCAGCAGAGCUUGGUGAGCUGUCCCUGUGAAGUGAGCCCAGGGAAGCAGCUGAGCCAAGGAAGAGCUCAGCUGGACACUGAGCUUCAGGAUGUCUUUGCAAAGGGUGUGUGGUGCAGACUUCACAUUUUCAGUGUGUAACAAUAGCAGGAGAGGACUUUGAAGGGUUUCUGGGUUCCCCCUCAGCACUUCCCUUUGCAUUCCCAAUCCUGGCCCAAGCUGCUCCAUCAGUCUGAUUUCUGUUCUCCUGCCAGGUUUCAGUGCAGAACAUGGCUAAAUUUCUUGAGGCAUGAAUGGGGACAGGACUGGAUGCUUGAUGUGAGCAUUGUACUCUACUCUUUGCAGGCUUCCUUGCUGUAUCCCACUGAAGGGGAUAAGAAGAAGGAAUCACUGUGUCUCCCUCUGAUCCCCCCGAUACGCAGGGCAGUAAGUCCCGAUGUUGGCAGUGCUGCAGGGUCUCUGCAAAGCUCUCUGCAGCUGGAUGUGCAAGAGUCCCAGGAGAUGAGGCCAAGAUCACCAGCACAUCCAAAGAGGAGAACUCUUAACAAGCAGGUUGGUAUAGGGCAUGUCUGUCCUCAAAUGACCUUAAGAAUUUUGACACAGAAGUGAUAUUUUGAAUGGUUGGAUAAAAACCAUUCUUUUCAAGAUUUCUUUCAAUUGAUUUCAAUUCCUUGAUGGGCUCAGUGGACUCUUUGAAAAGCCCAAUCACUGGGAAUGUGCUGUGGUGGUGCAGUGAAAAGUCCUCCAGUGUGAAGUGCUGAGUGGCUGGAGCUGGAGUGGUACCUUGGGGCCCUGGAAAUGCAGUGCAGGAAAAGGAAACAUUCCUCUCCAUCCAGCACUUGCCCUUCAUCUCCCUGUAGCCUUUCUAGUGUCACAAUUAGUAGACAGGCAUUUAUCUUGAAAUGGGAAAUUUUUCCAGUCCUUCGUCUUGCCCUUAAAGGAGAAAACCUUUCCUUGGGGCAGUUACUGAGCUGAACCCUUUGAGAUCUGAAGGAGAUUCAUGGACAUUGUCUGGUUCUGCACUGGGAGAAAUAGGGAAACCUCCUCUGAGGGGAAGUCCUUGUGAAAUUUCCAAUUAAGGAGAAGGAGGUUUCCAAAUGGAUGUA
RNAcentral lists this long non-coding RNA (1328 nucleotides) under Cyanistes caeruleus (blue tit). RNAcentral's name for it is "lncRNA (ENSCCEG00000006679.1)". The record is from RNAcentral. Lineage: Eukaryota; Metazoa; Chordata; Aves; Passeriformes; Paridae.